GACGCUGGCGGCGUGCUUAACACAUGACAAGUCGAACGGUGAAGGGAUCAGUCUUGCUGGUCUUGGAUGAGUGGCGAACGGGUGAGUAACACGUGAAGUAACCUCGCCCCCUUCUUCUGGAUAACCGCAUGAAAGUGUGGCUAAGUACGGGAUAUUCUGGGUCUGUCGCAUGAUGGGUUCGGGAAAGAUUGCGCCUUUGGGUGUUUUUGGUGGGGGAUGGGCUCGCGGCCUAUCAGCUUGUUGGUGGGGUGAUGGCCUACCAAGGCGGUGACGGGUAGCCGGCCUGAGAGGGUGGACGGUCACACUGGGACUGAGACACGGCCCAGACUCCUACGGGAGGCAGCAGUGGGGAAUAUUGCACAAUGGGCGCAAGCCUGAUGCAGCGACGCCGCGUGAGGGAUGGAGGCCUUCGGGUUGUGAACCUCUUUCGCCAGUGAAGCAGGCCCGCCUCGUUUGUGGGUGGGUUGACGGUAGCUGGGUUAAUGAAGCGCCGGCUAACUAC
Molecule: ribosomal RNA, 502 nt
Filed under: uncultured bacterium
Lineage: Bacteria
Description: bacterial SSU rRNA
Rfam family: Bacterial small subunit ribosomal RNA
Source: RNAcentral